AGUCCCGAAGUGACCCACGUCAAAAUGCAAGUUUGAAAAAGAGCUCAAAAGAGCUCCGGGGCUU
Molecule: transfer RNA, 64 nt
Filed under: Anolis imias
Lineage: Eukaryota; Metazoa; Chordata; Lepidosauria; Squamata; Anolidae
Description: tRNA-Cys
Source: RNAcentral